UACGUAGGGGGCAAGCGUUGUCCGGAAUCAUUGGGCGUAAAGCGCGUGUAGGCGGUCCGGUAAGUCGGCUGUGAAAGUCCAGGGCUCAACCCUGGGAUGCCGGUCGAUACUGCCAGACUAGAGUUCGGAAGAGGCGAGUGGAAUUCCCGGUGUAGCGGUGAAAUGCGCAGAUAUCAGGAAGAACACCAAUGGCGAAAGCAGCUCUCUGGGACGGUACUGACGCUGAGACGCGAAAGCGUGGGGAGCGAACAGG
RNAcentral lists this ribosomal RNA (253 nucleotides) under uncultured bacterium. Its description in RNAcentral is "partial 16S ribosomal RNA". It matches the Rfam family "Bacterial small subunit ribosomal RNA", at positions 524 to 776 of the family's 1533-position model. The record is from RNAcentral.